RNAcentral lists this ribosomal RNA (253 nucleotides) under uncultured bacterium. RNAcentral's name for it is "partial 16S ribosomal RNA". It matches the Rfam family "Bacterial small subunit ribosomal RNA", at positions 110 to 353 of the family's 1533-position model. The record is from RNAcentral.
GUAAUGUCUGGGAAACUGCCUGAUGGAGGGGGGAGUAACUAUUGGAAACGAUAGCUAAGACCGCAUAGGUACGGACACUGCAUGGUGACCGUAUUAAAAGUGCCUCAAAGCACUGGUAGAGGAUGGACUUAUGGCGCAUUAGCUGGUUGGCGGGGUAACGGCCCACCAAGGCGACGAUGCGUAGCCGACCUGAGAGGGUGACCGGCCACAUUGGAACUGAGACACGGUCCAAACUCCUACGGGAGGCAGCAUG